GAAAUGCAAUGCCGCAUGCGUUUCUGACUCUGAUCUCUGAAAGUGGUUUGAUUUUAAGUAUAGCUAACUUGACCACUUGUGAUUGGAUCAUCAGAGACUUAAUAUUACAUGUAAACAGGACGAGGCAUGAUCCGUUUUUAAAAAAUAUGUUGUGUCGUGAUGGACUGUGCAGCUCUACCGAAGCCUGUUAACAUGCUAAAUGAAAAUCAGAUCAUUGUAUGGCCCACACAUAUUUUGUUUACUAGAUUUUGUUUAACUUUUGUUUACAUGUCUUUGGCUUACUGGAAAACAGUCAGAGAAUCUCUUUUGUUUUUGAUUGCUGUAAUGUUUUUUCCAGAGCCAAGGGACCAAAACAUCUAAAUAAUUUUUUUGACCCACACAUAUAAACAUAGGUUUGUAAUUAUAAAUGCAGACUUAGACUGUGCUUAGUCAUCUCCUGUCUUCAUGGAGGUCUCUGGACCGUAAGUCACUAUGACCUCUUUCAUAUUUAUAAUGAGCCCCAAAAAGUACUUGAACACCUAAUAAUAUCUGAAUACAUCAAACCAAGUGACAUCUGCAUUCAGAUGUAUUUAAUCUCUUCUUUUUUUUUAAAUAAAUACCACUAGAUAUGACAUUCAAACAUUUUUAAGAGUGUCCUUUUGGGACGACUGUAUGGAUUUGGUCAACUAUAGAUAGAUGCACAUCCUGGGUUGAGAUUUUGAAUACUUUGUUGUAUGUGCAUUAUGCAUUUAAUGUCUAUUUUGUCUGUUGUCUUUUAGCCCUCUUGGAUGUCUUUGUUCCUGUCCGUCAGAGAGCUGGUGCUGGAAGCCUGUAGGAGGCGCGGCGUCCCCGUCUACAGCCGACCGCGCAGACUACAGCGCAGAGAUGAGCACGAGAGAGACAGAGGGAGGAAAAGCAGGCAUGAUGGAGCCAACAAUUAUCUGGCACUCCGUCCCUCGCAUAUUCACUUUCUGCUUGUGGAAUUGAGGGCAGGCGGGGCUGCUCUUUUGAGUCCGGGGUCCGUUUUGUGGGAAACUGUCUCUGCUAUGACAGAGAAGAGAGACUGUGGGCAUUUU
This 1055-nucleotide long non-coding RNA is filed under the name Sinocyclocheilus grahami. RNAcentral's name for it is "lncRNA (ENSSGRG00000010917.1)". The record is from RNAcentral. Lineage: Eukaryota; Metazoa; Chordata; Actinopteri; Cypriniformes; Cyprinidae.